RNA transcript from Cannabis sativa, 1529 nucleotides. It is a transcript of the gene named splicing factor U2af small subunit B, with no coding region annotated. Lineage: Eukaryota; Viridiplantae; Streptophyta; Magnoliopsida; Rosales; Cannabaceae. The transcript is spliced from 6 exons. The record is from RefSeq and is a predicted model, not a curated record.
AACCUGCUCAUGUGUAUAAUUUGGUACAUUUAAAUAUUAAUAACGUUUUCGUUUUAUGAAAUUUCCCAAUUCAAUAAAACCCUAAAACCAAACAUCAAAAACAUAAAUCAGUGUUUGUGUGAACGAUCACGGCCAUAGUCGUCGUGCUCUUCUUUCACUGAUCACAGUGAGAAGUAAUGGCGGAGCACUUGGCUUCCAUUUUCGGGACAGAGAAAGAUAGAGUCAACUGCCCUUUUUACUUCAAGAUCGGAGCUUGUAGACAUGGCGACCGCUGCUCACGUCUCCACACUAAGCCAAGUAUUAGCCCAACCCUACUCCUCUCGAAUAUGUACCAGAGACCUGAUAUGCUCACUACCCCUGGUGUCGAUACCCAAGGACAGUCCCUUGACCCUCGCAAGAUCCAAGACAACUUUGAGGAUUUUUAUGAAGAUCUAUUUGAGGAGCUGAGCAAGCAUGGGCAAAUUGAGAGCUUGAAUAUCUGUGAUAAUUUGGCUGAUCACAUGGUGGGAAAUGUUUAUGUUCAGUUCAGAGAGGAAGAGCAUGCUGCUGCUGCUCUUCAAAGCCUGACUGGAAGGUUCUAUGCAGGGCGUCCCAUUAUUGUUGACUUCUCACCGGUGACGGAUUUUCGUGAAGCCACAUGUAGGCAGUAUGAGGAAAAUGUAUGCAGCAGAGGUGGAUACUGCAACUUCAUGCAUUUGAAGAAGAUUAGCAGGGAGUUGAGAAGAAAACUAUUUGGAAGGAACAGACGGAGACGUAGUCACAGCAGAAGCAGAAGUCAUAGUCCUAGUAGGAACCGUGGUUAUGAAGAACGACCCCAUGGAGGUCCACAUGGAGGUCCUCAUGGAGGCCUGCAUGGAGGUCGUGGUUCUGGUAGAAGAGAUGAUGACAGGGAUCACCGAUCCCAUGAUAGGAGACGGCCCAGAAGCCGUAGUCCAGGGCCAGGUGCAGUUGCAGGUCGCAGGGGAAGAAGUAGAAGCCCCGGAGGACGGAGGAAUAGGAGCCCGCCAGCCAGGGAAAGCAGUGCUGAAAGAAGGGCUAAAAUUGAACAAUGGAACAGGGAAAAGGAGCAGGGAGGAGGAUCUGAUGAAAAACACAAUAAUAAUGGUGACAAUGAAAAUGAAAAUGAAUUUGAAAAUGAGAAGAAUGGUUAUGCACAGAAUUCAAGUCAUUAUGAUGAUGAUUAUCAGCAGCAGCAGCAAUAGUUUGGCGGACCUAAAUAACUGAUAUAAUUGGACUUUUCUGGUUUGUCCCUUCAUUUUUAUCUGGUAAACCUUUUCCUCCCUUAAGGAAUCUAUACACCCUCGCUCUACCCUCUAUUUUGAUAGGCGGCUUAUAGAUUCUCCAGGAAGAUGCCGUUUUUAAAUUGUGGAAUUAUUAUUUUUUUUUUCUUUUGAUAUUUGUGACAUGUUUUAAGCCUAUGAAAACUUUUAGAAAUAGAUUUUUGUAAUUUUAAUUUGAAGAGCAAUGUGGUGCCUAAUAUUGAUAUUUUUGUGGUUUUAAUGUUAAACGAGUCUUUGCUACAUCGAAAA